RNAcentral lists this ribosomal RNA (450 nucleotides) under uncultured bacterium. Its description in RNAcentral is "partial 16S ribosomal RNA". It matches the Rfam family "Bacterial small subunit ribosomal RNA", at positions 338 to 795 of the family's 1533-position model. The record is from RNAcentral.
CCUACGGGCGGCUGCAGUGGGGAAUUUUGGACAAUGGGGGCAACCCUGAUCCAGCCAUGCCGCGUGCGGGAAGAAGGCCUUCGGGUUGUAAACCGCUUUUGUCAGGGAAGAAAUCUUCCGAGCUAAUACCUUGGGAGGAUGACGGUACCUGAAGAAUAAGCACCGGCUAACUACGUGCCAGCAGCCGCGGUAAUACGUAGGGUGCAAGCGUUAAGUAGAAUUACUGGGCGCAAAGGUUGCGGAGGCGGGUGAAAUCCCCGGGCUUAACCUGGGAACUGCACUUGUGACUGUACGGCGGGAGUACGGCAGAGGGGGAUGGAAUUCCGCGUGUAGCAGUGAAAUGCGUAGAUAUGCGGAGGAACACCGAUGGCGAAGGCAGUCCCCUGGGCCUGUACUGACGCUCAUGCACGAAAGCGUGGGGAGCAAACAGGAUUAGAUACCCUAGUAGUC